GCGUGUUUCAGCUAGGAGGAAGCGCGUGAGUUUAGAAGCCACGCGGGGUUGUGGGGUGUCCCGGGAGCUCGAGGCGUGCGCUUUCUCUUUGGCCGUUCGCCGCUGAACGUCUUGUGUCCUUUCCGCCCUUUCGGGGUGGGGGAAAGCAGAGCUUCUCCACGAGCUGGGGCCCGUGAAGGAGAAGGGAGCCAGCGGGGGACUCUGGAGUGCCUGAGGGCAGGGCUGCGGCCCGGAAGAGGCGAGGAGAAGAGAGGGUUCCCGUAGGCAGGGUCCGCACGCGCUGGGAUCAGGGCUGGUCCCGAGAAGGGCCUGGGGCGGCCGCGCUAUGUUCGGGGCCCGGUGCCUGCUCCGAGCCCUGCGCUCCUGUUCCUCGGCUCCCUGCCCAAGGCACAAACCUUCAGCCAAACUGAGCGUGCGGGACGCUCUCGGGGCCCAGAACGCAAGUGGGGAGCGCGUUAAGGUCCAGGGAUGGAUUCGUUCAGUCCGAUCCCAGAAGGAAGUCUUGUUCCUGCAUGUAAAUGAUGGGUCAUCUUUGGAAAGCCUUCAGGUUGUAGCAGAUUCAAGCUUUGACAGUAGAGAACUGGCCUUUGGGAGUUCCGUGGAAGUUCAAGGGCAGCUGGUAAAAAGUUUGUCCAAAAGGCAAAAUGUGGAACUGAAGGCAGAAAAAAUUGAAGUUGUUGGAAAUUGUGAUGCCAAGGCUUUCCCUUUUAAAUAUAAAGAGAGGCAUCCUCUGGAGUAUCUGAGACAAUACCCUCACCUUAGGUGUAGGACUAAUGUUCUGGGUUCUAUACUGAGGGUUCGCAGUGAAGCCACAGCUGCUAUCCAUUCUUUCUUUAAGGACAGUGGCUUUGUGCAUAUUCAUACUCCAGUAAUCACAUCCAAUGACUGUGAGGGGGCUGGAGAACUUUUUCAAGUUAAGCCUUCAAGCAAAAUAAAGGUACCUGAGGAGAAUUUCUUCAAUGUUCCUGUUUUCUUAACUGUCUCAGGACAACUUCAUCUAGAAGUGAUGUCAGGAGCUUUUACUCAAGUGUUUACCUUUGGUCCAACAUUCCGAGCAGAGAAUUCUCAGAGCCGGAGACACCUGGCAGAGUUUUAUAUGGUAGAAGCAGAGAUUUCUUUUCUUGAGAGCCUUCAAGAUCUCAUGCAGGUUAUGGAGGGCCUCUUCAAGACUACAACAAUGACAGUUCUCUCAAAUUGUCCUGAAGAUGUUGAACUCUGUCACAAAUUCAUAGCUCCUGGCCAAAAGGACAGAUUAGAACAUAUGCUAAAAAACAACUUUCUAAUCAUUUCUUAUACUGAGGCAGUGGAGAUCUUAAAGCAGGCAUCCCAGAACUUCACCUUCACUCCAGAGUGGGGUGCUGAUCUACACACUGAACAUGAAAAGUACCUGGUGAAGCACUGUGGCGACAUACCAGUCUUUGUCAUUAAUUAUCCAUUAGCACUCAAGCCCUUCUACAUGAGGGAUAAUGAAGACAGCCCUCAGCACACAGUUGCUGCUGUUGAUCUUCUGGUUCCUGGAGUUGGAGAACUCUUUGGGGGAAGCCUCAGAGAAGAACGGUACCAUUUCUUAGAGCAGCGAUUGGCCAGGUCAGGACUGACAGAAGCCUACCAAUGGUAUCUGGACCUCCGUCAAUUUGGAUCUGUGCCACAUGGAGGUUUUGGGAUGGGAUUUGAACGCUAUCUGCAGUGCAUCUUGGGAAUUGACAAUAUCAAAGAUGUUAUCCCUUUUCCAAGAUUUACUCAUUCGUGUCUUUUGUAGCUGAAGACUGCUUAAGGAAAACCACCCUGUGCCAGAGGUACUGCACAUGAAUAUACAUACAGGAGAAUGCAUGUUUGAACUGUUGAAAUGCAGAAGUUUUCAAUAUGUAAUUGUCAUGCUAGAAGAUACAUGAAAGAUACAUGUGAUCAUGAUUUUCAUUGAAAGUUGAAGGCAUUUCAUGGAAAGAUGAACUCCAUCAAGAAGAGUUCCCAUUCUCAUUUCAAAUUUUGAAGAAGGUGGAGAAAAAUAGUUACUUUCCAUCUGGCUGUCCGCUUGCCUGCGACUGAACAGGCAUUGAAGAUGCAACUGGUGAAAUGGAUUAACUCUACCCUUCUUUAAAUCUCUUCAGGUUUUUGCAUCAGGAAACUGUCGGGUCAGAUUUCUGCCAGAAAAUGUGCUGGAUGUUUCGUGUCUUGGAAGGGGUAUUAGACGUAGAGGGAGAAGACUCUGGUUUAUGUCUGACGCUCUACUUACCAGCUGUGGAACCUUGAGCAAGUUAUUUUAUCUCUGAGUUUGUAUACUUAUCUGCAAAAUGAGGAUAAUAUUUAACUUACAGAGUGUUGUGAGAAACGGCGAAGACUGUGUGAAAGGGUUUCAUAAGUUGACAACACUACACAAAUGUAAGGUCUCCUAAGGGAAUCCUUUUCAAAACUCAAAAAAAAAAAUCUGUAUGAAGUAAGAUAUUUAUUACAUGUUGAAUGAAAUAUUUUAUAGCCAUAAAAAUUAUAAGAGAAAAUGUGUUGAAAAAUUUUUAAGUUGUACUUUGCAGUUACAACAGUGUAAAAGCUGUGCACAUGGACUAGAAGCAUAUGGGAAAAAACGGAAUCAGCUGUUUCAGGACAGUGGAAUUGAGCGACUUUUCUUUAAAAAUCUCUUUGGCCUAUUCAAUUCAGUAGAUGCACUGUGCCAGGUUAAGUGCUCGAUUCUGUGAACACAGAGAAAAAUAGGAUAUGCUCCCACGUCUCAGGGACUCCCAUUUUGUAUAAUCUUUGUUAAAGUUUAUUAUGUAUAAGAAUCACCUGGGGAGCUUAUUAAAAGUUCAGAUUAUCCUGAUACCACCCUAGAAAGUCUGUUCCACCCUGAAAGGUCUAGGAUGGAACAGCACACAGUUAGCAUUCUUCAAACAGUCACCCUGAGUGAUUCUAAUAUAGGUGGUUUAACUUCACACUGUGAGAAACCUUCAGUGAGGUUUUAAUGUUUUUACUGUAAAAAGUAAUAAUUACACAGAUCUGCUCAUUGAAGAAUUUGAUUGUUCUGUCUGGACCUUUUUUUUUAAUAUAUAUAUUUUUUUAAUUUUAUUUUUUUGGCUGCAUUGGGUCUUCUUUGCAGCGCAAUGGCUUUCUCUAAUUGCAGUGAGGAGGGGCUACUCUUCGUUGCGGUGUGCGGGCUUCUCAUUGCGGUGGCUUCUCUUGUUGUGGAGCCCGGGCUCUAGGCGCGCGGGCUUCAGUAGUUGUGGCACGUGGGCCCUAGAGCGCGCGGGCUUCAGUAGUUGCGGCACAU
RNA transcript from Lagenorhynchus albirostris (white-beaked dolphin), 3259 nucleotides. It is a transcript of the gene named asparaginyl-tRNA synthetase 2, mitochondrial, with no coding region annotated. The record is from RefSeq and is a predicted model, not a curated record. The transcript has 17 exons. NCBI's taxonomy places the organism in Eukaryota, Metazoa, Chordata, Mammalia, Artiodactyla, Delphinidae.